CAGCAGCCACGGUAAUACAGAGGGUGCGAGCGUUAAUCGGAUUUACUGGGCGUAAAGCGUGCGUAGGUGGUGGUUUAAGUCCGUUGUGAAAGCCCUGGGCUCAACCUGGGAAUUGCAGUGGAUACUGGGUCACUAGAGUGUGGUAGAGGAUAGUGGAAUUUCCGGUGUAGCAGUGAAAUGCGUAGAUAUAGGAAGGAACACCAGUGGCGAAGGCGACCACCUGGACUAAUACUGACACUGAGGUGCGAAAGCGUGGGGAGCAAACAGGAUUAGAUACCCGAGUAGUCCCUGUCUCUUAUAC
Molecule: ribosomal RNA, 301 nt
Filed under: uncultured bacterium
Lineage: Bacteria
Description: partial 16S ribosomal RNA
Rfam family: Bacterial small subunit ribosomal RNA
Source: RNAcentral